This 612-nucleotide ribosomal RNA is filed under the name Sporisorium mishrae. RNAcentral's name for it is "partial large subunit ribosomal RNA". It matches the Rfam family "Eukaryotic large subunit ribosomal RNA", at positions 76 to 664 of the family's 3401-position model. Lineage: Eukaryota; Fungi; Basidiomycota; Ustilaginomycetes; Ustilaginales; Ustilaginaceae. The record is from RNAcentral.
UCCCCUAGUAACGGCGAGUGAAGAGGGAAGAGCCCAAGAUUGAAAGCUGGCGUCUUCGACGUCCGCAUUGUAAUCUCAAGAAGUGUUUUCCGCUUCGGACCAUGCCUAAGUCCCUUGGAAAAGGGCAUCAUAGAGGGUGAUAAUCCCGUACAUGGCAUGGAGCGCCCGAGGCUUUGUGAUACGCUUUCUAAGAGUCGAGUUGUUUGGGAAUGCAGCUCAAAAUGGGUGGUAAAUGCCAUCUAAGGCUAAAUAUUGGGGAGAGACCGAUAGCGAACAAGUACAGUGAUGGAAAGAUGAAAAGAACUUUGAAAAGAGAGUUAAACAGUACGUGAAAUUGCCAAAAGGGAAGGGUAGGAGGUCAGAGAUGCGUCUUGGGAUUCAGCCUUGCUUUUGCUUGGUGUUUUUCCCAAGUUGCAGGCCAACGUCGGUUUUGGGCACUGGAGAAGGGUGGAAGGAACGUGGCACCUCUCGGGGUGUGUUAUAGCCUUCCACUGGAUACAGCGACCGAGACCGAGGACAGCAGCGUACUCGCAAGAGCGGGCCUUCGGGCACCUUUACGCUUAGGGCGUUGGCAUAAUGGCCCUCUACCACCCGUCUUGAAACACGGGACCA